This 1516-nucleotide long non-coding RNA is filed under the name Numida meleagris (helmeted guineafowl). Its description in RNAcentral is "lncRNA (ENSNMEG00000023016.1)". Lineage: Eukaryota; Metazoa; Chordata; Aves; Galliformes; Numididae. The record is from RNAcentral.
CCCUUCUUAUUUAAUUCAGUAUGUGGUAAAGAAUCUGUGAAAAUGAGAGGGAGCAGCUCUUUAAAGCCACACUUCACAGCUGAGAGAAAAUAAUGGUUAAUAUAAAAUGUUUGACAUCUUCAAAAAAACAACAUGCAAACAUGGAACGCUUUCAUUCACAAAUCAUAAAUCAUAGUCUUUGAGGUAAAAACAAAGCACAGUGCAAUAGAAUUUGUAAGUUUUGUCCAGGCUUAGGAACAAAGGAAGUUGCAAAAGGAAGAUUCUUCAAUGAACACAUGAAGUUCAAGAAGUUGUAUCAUCAGUUGAAUUACUAAAAGAGAAUUACUUUCCCUGCUCAUGAAGUUGCUGUUUUCUGUCUUUCACAGAAAUACUGUACUGGCUUGGUCACACUGCAGAUGAUUAAAAAAAACAAUAACACCACAAGAAAAAACCUGGGUGAGGAGGAGGCAGAUGACACUUGCUGUUUGACAGUCAACUCUCGCUGUGCAACUAGGAAGGAAAAAAAAAAGGAAAAAAGUUAACAGCAUCAAUCCGUCAUCCUGGAAUAUGAAGAUGUGAGGUGGGACAUUUUCAGAAGACCUUAUUUCAUUCCAGGGAACGAUGCGUGAAUCUACUCACAGUGGAGACACUGCAAAUACAGUAUAGAGAAUAAUUCAAUCAGCUCACUGAAAAAUCUUGAUAAUACACUGCAAAACAAACUUAACCAUAUGAUAAAACGACUUCUCUGUCAUUGCAUGCAUUUGUAGUUCUGGUAAUUAAACUCUGAUGAGGAAGUUGCAUUAACCAGUAAAAAUACUGACCUUCGUGAGCACGAGCAUGGAUGAGUACACAUAGUGCUGAGCGUUCAAAGGACGAGCCCUACUUCUUCUAACCUGACUAUGUGCAAAACAACCUCAUUUCAUCACUGAAUUGGUCUGGAUUUCUUUGCUCUGUGCUAAUCCCAGCCUGAAAUUUAGAACACAACAGUCUCUGAACUGAGGCCAAGCGUGAUUCUAGCGAUUAGCUGAUAAAUUAGGAAAAUACUCAGCCUAUUAGAAUGAGUACACACAAAAAUAUAAUGGAAUGAAAUCAUUUGUUUAACACUGAUUAAAACAGCAAAGGGGCACAAAGGUUUGUACUCUGAAGCACAUUACCUGACAGCUCAUACAAUCUGUCAGAGAAUGAAGAGUAACUCAGUUUUAGCGACAGCACUCCUAACAUUAUGACUACUAAAAAAAUGGCCACUGUAAACACUUACCCCAAAGCAAGGUUUUACAUUACUAAACAGGCAUUUACAAAGGAAAGAUGUUUAAUUUUUCUUCAUUCUCUGCCGUGACAAAACAUAUCGGUCUCAUUUACCUCCACAGCUGAACCAUGUCUGUUCCUCUGAACACUACAGAAUGGCUACAGAAGUCUGCUGCAGGAAAAAGAGUUAAGUGAACAACUUCAUAAGAGUGAUUUUUUUUUUCCUCUUAAAAUACAGUAGAAGUUUCCAAUACUUAGUGUUAUCACUUCCCAAAGAGUCUAAAUUCCCAAG